Molecule: long non-coding RNA, 1515 nt
Organism: Paramisgurnus dabryanus
Lineage: Eukaryota; Metazoa; Chordata; Actinopteri; Cypriniformes; Cobitidae
Source: RefSeq, a predicted model, not a curated record
UGAACCAUUACUUACAAACUAAAUAAAUACUGAAUAACUAAAUCCCUCACACACAAUGGAAAAAACGCGCUUUUAUUUUGACACGCGCCCAUCCCCCCACAUCUCACGGUCUGACUGGAGUCGAGUUUCACAGAGCAACGCAACAGGAGGAUGACACAACAGUUAUAAGAGCAUUAACAGUAAGGACUAACAUUAACUGACUGUCUGUCCUCAACCAAAGUCAUUCAAGACCUGUAAAAGUUUAGCACAAACGUUUCCCGCGCAAGUUUGAAUCUCUCUCAGUCAGGGGAGAUUGACUGACUGACUGACUGACUGUCUACACGCCACCAAACAGUAAUUUAUACAGAAACCUUUUAAAGUAAGGACUAACAUUAACUGAAUGUCUGUCUGUCUGUCUGUUCUCAAGUCAUUCAAGACCUGUUAAAGUCAUUCAAGACCUGUUAAAGUAAGGACUAAGGUUAACUGUCUGUCUGUCUGUCUGUCUGUCGGUUCUCAACCAAAGUCAUUAAAGACCUGUUAAAGUAAUGACUAACGUUAACUGACUGUCUGUCUGUCUGUCUGUCUGCUCUCAACCAAACAGUCAUUCAAGACCUUUCAAAGUUUAGCACAAAAGUUUCCAGCACAAGUUUGGAUCUUUACCAUUGAGGGUGGCUGACUGUUCUCGACCAACCAUCAUUCACACGCAAAAACUUUAAAGAUAAGUAUGAACGUGCCCAGAGCAGUUUUCGAUCUUUACCAUUAAGGAGGCUGACUGACUAUCCUCUUCCACCCGUCAUUAACACAACAAAAACUAAAGAAAUGUUACUCCAUAUGGACCUAUUCAUUUACUCAUUAUGCUGUGAGUACACCACAGUUUUAUCAGUGAAAAAAUUUAUAUUUGUGUGUUUUCUCACUGCUUGGCAAGGACAGAUGUGGCCCUGUUAAAAAUGUUUAAAUGUUGUUUGGUUAAGGAACAGCACACUGAUUUUGUUUUAAAAUAUUCCUGUUUGGACAGUCUGUUAAAGUCAAAGGAAUACUUGAUAUAUUUCUAAGUAAAGUGUAAAUGAAAAAAUUAGUUUUUAAUGUUGUGACUGAACACAAUGUUGUGAAUGAUUUGGACUGAACAGCACACUUCUGUUUUAUAUCUGAACCUUUUGUAAAAUAAAUGAUUGUUCAUUAAACUCACUGUGUAUUUUAUCUUUUCUGUUAUCAUUUUUUUAUACUAAUGUUUAAAAUUUACCUUUACUCUAAACAAUUGGCUAAACCAACACAAAUACACUGAGUCAUAUGCACUUAUAAUUUAAAGUUUACAAUAUUUAGAUUGAGAUAUAUGUAUAAGUUUUAAAACCAUGAGUGUACCCUGUCAAAGCCAAUUUUGUACCCUUUUUGAAGGGUCCAUAUUUGUACUGUUAAAUAAAGGUACAAAAUUGUCACUAGAGGUACAAAACUGGUCCCUUAAGGUACAAAUCACAAGGGUACAAUUUUGUACCCUCUGCCAAGGGUACAAAAACUGUACCCUUGAGGGUACAGCCCCAG